UGUUAAAAAUUACAUCUGUACUAUUAAAAACUGGCGUGACUGACGAAAUAACUAGAUAGUGACACGUGACAUGCCACGUGUAUCUCAUGCUGACAUAUUUGUUCUUAAUAGUAGAAAUAGAUGAAAUUUUUAACA
Molecule: non-coding RNA, 135 nt
Organism: Gossypium raimondii (Peruvian cotton)
Lineage: Eukaryota; Viridiplantae; Streptophyta; Magnoliopsida; Malvales; Malvaceae
Source: Rfam